Molecule: ribosomal RNA, 253 nt
Filed under: uncultured bacterium
Lineage: Bacteria
Description: partial 16S ribosomal RNA
Rfam family: Bacterial small subunit ribosomal RNA
Source: RNAcentral
UACGGAGGAUCCAAGCGUUAUCCGGAUUCAUUGGGGUUAAAGGGUGCGUAGGCGGACUAAUAAGUCAGUGGUGAAAGCCCUCAGCUUAACUGAGGAACUGCCAUUGAUACUGUUAAUCUUGAGUACAUUUGAUGUGGGCGGAAUGUGUCAUGUAGCGGUGAAAUGCUUAGAUAUGACACAGAACACCGAUUGCGAAGGCAGCUCACAAAACUGUAACUGACGCUGAGGCACGAAAGCGUGGGUAUCAAACAGG